RNAcentral lists this ribosomal RNA (220 nucleotides) under uncultured bacterium. Its description in RNAcentral is "partial 16S ribosomal RNA". It matches the Rfam family "Bacterial small subunit ribosomal RNA", at positions 116 to 334 of the family's 1533-position model. The record is from RNAcentral.
CGUGAGCAACCUGCCUUUAUCAGGGGGAUAACGCAUCGAAAGAUGUGCUAAUACCGCGUAAGACCACAGCUUCACAUGGAGCGGGGGUCAAAGGAGCAAUUCGGAUAAAGAUGGGCUCGCGUCCGAUUAGCUAGUUGGUGAGAUAACAGCCCACCAAGGCGACGAUCGGUAGCCGACCUGAGAGGGUGAUCGGCCACAUUGGAACUGAGAGACGGUCCAG